UACGGAAGGCAGCAGUGGGGAAUAUUGCACAAUGGGCGAAAGCCUGAUGCAGCUAUGCCGCGUGUAUGAAGAAGGCCUUAGGGUUGUAAAGUACUUUCAUCGGGGAGGAAAAACAAAACUAAUAAUUUUAUUUCUUGACGUUACCCGAAAAAGAAGCACCGGCUAACUCCGUGCCAGCAGCCGCGGUAAUACGGAGGGUGCUAGCGUUAAUCAGAAUUACUGGGCGUAAAGAGCACGUAGGUGGUUUUUUAAGUCAGAUGUGAAAUCCCUGGGCUUAACCUAGGAACUGCAUUUUGAAACUGAAAUACUAGAGUAUCGUAGAGGGAGGUAGAAUUCUAGGUGUAGCGGUGAAAUGCGUAGAUAUCUGGAGGAAUACCUGUGGCGAAAGCGGCCUCCUAAACGAAUACUGACACUGAGGGUGCGAAAGCGUGGGGAGCAAACAGGGAUUAGAUACCCGU
RNAcentral lists this ribosomal RNA (458 nucleotides) under uncultured bacterium. RNAcentral describes it as "bacterial SSU rRNA". It matches the Rfam family "Bacterial small subunit ribosomal RNA", at positions 340 to 789 of the family's 1533-position model. The record is from RNAcentral.